GCUCUGGUUGGCAUUUCCCACCCCCUUUUUGCAAACAGAGGCUCAUUAAGUGACUUCCCACGUCGUCGCUGCGGAGACUCACCCGCGCGCUCGCUCCGAGAAGUUGUCCUGGUGCAGCGCGCGGAGCCCGGCUCGGGCCAUUCCUAUGCGCCCCGUGUCUCGCCUCGGAAUCACAUUCCACCCAGAGACGCGGCCCCGAGAUGGGCCCGGAAUAAUUAUUGGAGGAAGAAUCAGCGGCGGUGGCGGUGGCUUCGGGUGUGACAGGAGCCUUUCUGGCGACAGACAUCAGCCUCGUGAGACUUUUUAUCUGCAUCCCCACCCCCCGGGCCUCAAGCUCAGCUCAAAAAUGCAACAACUCUGCAAGACCCAGUAAUUCGCGCUGCCCAGGUGACCUUACCUGAUCCAAAUUGCAACUUACCCCCGGGACGUUUCUGCUACAAGCCUCGUUUGCAAAAUGCCAGAGAUGCACCGUUUCCCAAGGUCGCCGGACAAUGCGCACCCCCUGCCACAUGACUUUCGGGAUCCAGAUGGGGGUCACACCAGGGUCCCCUUAUUGCUUUCCAAGGAACCCCACGGCCUGCGCGCCCUGGGG
This 592-nucleotide long non-coding RNA is filed under the name Ictidomys tridecemlineatus (thirteen-lined ground squirrel). RNAcentral describes it as "lncRNA (ENSSTOG00000034352.1)". Lineage: Eukaryota; Metazoa; Chordata; Mammalia; Rodentia; Sciuridae. The record is from RNAcentral.